GCCCCGCACCCACGGCACUUCCCAGCCCUGCUCUCCCCUCCCCCUCCCCUCCCCACUCUCUCCCCCAAAUCGGAGAGCGGAGGAACCCACAGACCCAUCCAUCCAUCCGGAAAGUCGAGCGAGAUGGGCGCCGCGAGCAGCAGCUGCGCCGCCGGCCCGUCGUCUUCGUCGCCGCCGCCGCGUCGCCGGCCGCGGAUCGGCCUCGGCGGGUGCUUCGGGGCCGGAUCCUCCGCGCGCGACGGCGGGGGCCUCGCCGCCGCCGCCGCCGCGGCCGCCUCCUCCUCGCGCGCCCUCCAGGCAGCAACUCGGCAAGCAGAGCGAGCAGCGGCUGGGCUAGAUUUCCAGCCUUCCCUGUCUGCUAAGGAUCUUCGCCACACCAGCGAGCCAGACCCAAGAGUGCAUCCGUCUUCAAGCACCAUAAGUCACCGCCUCCGGUUCAACCACCUGGACUGUCACGAGAACAAGGAGCAUGCCCUGCGAAUUAAAGAUGCUGAAACGAGUGGUCUGGCGAGUUCAUCAGGAAAGGAUGCCGUGAUUAGGGGAAAUCUCAGUAAUGAAGCUGGCAAUGAUGAGAGAACAUCUGGGGAAGGGGUUAGUCCUAUGGCACAAGAGCUUGUAGAACCUGCACCUGAUAAUGUCCAUAUUGACGCAGUUUUCAUUACAGAAGUUAGUGGCUCCUUGUCCCAGUCUGAUUUCCACUCCUCGCUGAUGACAUCUGAAAGGAUCAUGCCUGGCUUGGAAGACGGCGAGACAGCUCUCCGCAGGACUUCAUCCAGAGAUGUUUUGUCAAGUGAAAGAUCAGAUGUUUCUCAAUCCAGCUUGACAUCUGUGUUGCCUGCUACUUCAAGCGCAUCAUCCAUCGUUGGUGAAUCAAUUCCAGAUGCAACUGCUAGCAGAGAAGAUGUUCCAACCAUAUUCAGUGUGUCUCAUGGUCAGAUUGGUGGCAGUACAGUGCAUGAAGACAUGGUUAGCAUUUUCUCAAAUGAUGGCCCAGAACACCCCCGAGAUUCCAGCAAUGGUGAAACAAGAAGAAAUCAUAGAAGAGUCCUAUGGGAUUCAUUUUCAAGACGUGGUUCUAGAGGUUAUCUAGAUUCAGACACUGAUGAUCUGGGAUUUUACAGUAGAUGGCUAGACCUUGGUGAUGAUCUUUUUGGUGAUGAGGUUGAGGAGGCACGAUACUUUCAUCGUAGACGCCAUGGUUCAAUCAGAGUAAACCAGUAUUCAAGAUCUCGGAUUAGGGAGCACCGUCGUGCUAUUUUUGAUAGUGGGAACGGACAAAGUACUGCUGCUUGUCCUUUGGGGAUCCACCAAAUUGGCAGAUGCACCUGUGAUGCAUUCUUGGUCGCUGAAGAAUCUAGUGCUCGCGCAAGUAUAUCAAGAAUUGUCAUGUUAACGGAGGCAUUAUUUGAGGUAUUGGAUGAGAUUCACCGGCAACCCUCAUCACUUUCACUUUCCAUGGCCUCUGCUCAAGCUCCAGAGGCUGUGGUUAAUUCAUUACCAUCAUCUAGAGACCCUGAAUCGUGUGGAUGAUCGCCGUUUGACACCCUUCUUCUUUUGGUCUUCACAAAUCUGUGCCAUAUCUGCUUAACUGAAUAUGAGGAUGGAGAUCAGAUAAGAAGUCUCCCAUGCAAACAUGAGUUUCACCUGCAGUGUGUCGACAAGUGGCUUAAAGAAAUACACAGGGUGUGCCCGUUGUGUCGUGGGGACGUCUGCGAAGGUGUUGCCUCUUGAAGACCUUGGGCACCGGCUCACCCCCUCAAGGCGCCUCUUGAAGAUGGUAGGGCCGGCACAUCUCUUGCAGCCAUGGACGAAGCUGUUUGGUUGGUCUGGAGAGGGCUGGUUACCCAUUGCUGAAGCAUGCGAUUUCAUGCAUUGAUUCGACAUGUCAAGUUCCCAGAAUAUAACAAUGACCUGUACAUAUCUUUUGUAGCCUUAUCCCAUGUAUGACAUCAUGUACAUAUGUGCGAAAAUUUGAUCCGAUUCCACCAUAUUCGAGAUCUAUAUGUAUCCCCCAUGUGACAAUGAUGAAUCCAAGUCAAUCUCUCCAUCAGGAGGAGACAUAUUUUUAAUGUAGUAUGAAUUGUGCCUUCACUACAUUAUAGCCA
Molecule: RNA transcript, 2105 nt
Organism: Triticum aestivum (bread wheat)
Lineage: Eukaryota; Viridiplantae; Streptophyta; Magnoliopsida; Poales; Poaceae
Exons: 7
Source: RefSeq, a predicted model, not a curated record